Molecule: ribosomal RNA, 678 nt
Filed under: Triticum aestivum (bread wheat)
Lineage: Eukaryota; Viridiplantae; Streptophyta; Magnoliopsida; Poales; Poaceae
Description: partial small subunit ribosomal RNA
Source: RNAcentral
AUGACUUUAAAUAGCAUUGAACCCACUAUCUCGGAUUUCAAGGAAUUUGAUUAUGAUAAUUUUUCUUUAGAAGGUUGUAUUUCCUUGUUGCAAUCCGUUGUUAAUUCUCCUCAUGCUUAUAGUCAAAAUAAAGCUUUUACCAAACAUAUCGUUGAUGCCUUGAUGCAAUCUUAUGAUGAAAAACUUAAUUUGGAAGUUUCUAUACCUAGAAAACUUAAUGAUGAGUGGGAACCUACUAUAAAGAUUAAAAUUAAAGAUCAUGAGUGUUUUGCUUUGUGCGAUUUGGGUGCUAGUGUUUCCAUGAUUCCGAAAAUUUUAUGCGAUAUUCUAGGUUUCCAUGAUCUUGAUGAUUGCCCUUUAAAUUUGCACCUUGCGGAUUCCACCAUUAAAAAGGCAAUGGGAUGGAUAAAUGAUGUUACCAUUGUUGCAAAUAGAAAUUUGGUGCCCGUAGAUUUUAUAUUUCUUGAUAUUGAUUGCAAUCUUUCUUGCCCUAUUAUUCUUGGUAGACCUUUCCUUAGAACGAUUGGCGCGAUUAUUGAUAUGAAGGAAGGGAAUAUUAGAUUCCAAUUUUCAUUAAGGAAAGGCAUGGAGCACUUUACAAGAAAGAAAAUUAAAUUACCUUAUGAAUCUAUCAUGCGAGCUACUUAUGAAUCGAAUGCCAAAGAUGGCACUACUUAG